Molecule: long non-coding RNA, 2010 nt
Organism: Hylaeus anthracinus
Lineage: Eukaryota; Metazoa; Arthropoda; Insecta; Hymenoptera; Colletidae
Exons: 2
Source: RefSeq, a predicted model, not a curated record
CAUCAUAAUAACAUAUACACUUAAUAAGCAUGUAUGAUAUACAAGCUAUCAAAGAACGAGAUUUGUUUUGCUAAUCUCUUGUCUUUCCCUAAUCAUUAAUUCAUUACCAUUUCACAAUUGUAAUUAAGACUUGUAAUUCUGUGUUCAGAGAUUUCAAAACAUGCUGGUUAUUUCCAAGAGUAGAUAAUAUUUAAAAAAUAAAAUAAGCAUGAAAUAAGAUACCAAGUUAUGUAAAAUAUUGUUUCAAAUAACAUACUUUCUUAUGAUUAAUCAUAAAUGUACAAAACUUUGAAUAACAGGUCCCACCUUCUAAUCUAAAACUAUUCCUAAAGCAGACAUUUAUACGUUAUGUGAACUUUAUCUUUCUAUCACGUUAAUGUUAAGUGUAAAUGUAGUGGAAAGAUAUUUAUAUUUGAUAAAGAACUAAGAUAGAAGGUCCCUUGACAGCACAAAAUAAACCACUCAAAUUUGCUAAUCUCUAAUAUUUAGAUGGAAAAAUGAAAAGGGAGAAUUAGAGUUAAUCUCUUAUCAGCAAUUUAUAGACAAAGAAUAAUUUAUUGCUAUUAUUUCAACAAUAGGUGCAGUUAUUUAUCACAUUGGUAAUCUUUAUGUGUAUCUUUCUUAUUGCUAGUUGAUAAGUUUGAUAAUAUAUAUAUAUAUGACAAAAGAUGUGUAUGGUGCAAUAAUAAACAUGAUAAAUGGUAAUAAAAAUUAAUAGAUUGUACAUUAAAUAAAAAAAGUUGACAACUAUCAGAUAUCAGAUAUUUAAUAACACAAAACCUAUUUUAUAUAAGAAAUCUUAAAAAAUAUCAAUAAUUAAAGUCUAACAGAAAUUAGAAACUUAAUGUCUAGUUCUAAUAAUUAUGUCUGUAGUUUCUUAAUAUUUCUGAGGACCCUAUGUAGUAUUUUUAAUGUGUCUUACAGUCGAUAUGGGUAUUGAUAUUUCUAAAGUAUCAGCCACGGGUUAGAUGAUAAGAGUGAUUUAUAUAUCUACAGUCUGCAUAGUUAUGUACAUGAUUGCUAUCUUUGAAUCUACUUCACAUUUAGUCUAUGAUAAAUUAUUUGUUUCCUCCUUGGCAUCGGUGGCUCUUUUGACAUAAACAUUUUCGAAAAUUCAUAUGUAUUACAAAAAUAAAAUCUGGCGUCUUUAUUUCGAUAUUUUAUAAUAGGAAUUAAUUAGUACAAAGAAAUGGAUAGUUACAAAAAUCUGGAACGUAAAGGGCAAAUCAAUAUAACCUCAGUUGUUUGGUCGCGGUCAAGGUCGUGCUACAUAUAGGUGAAAGUCAUUGAUAGUGAAAUUUAGGUGGUUGUGUGUGUGUGUGUGUGUGUUUAGAAGGUGUAGGCGUUAUACAUACAGAUCUUAUAUUAAAUAGUUCGAAGUUGCGCUAAAAACAGCUGUUUCAAACGAAUGUUGUAGUAUGUGCAGUAGUUGUUACAUGGACAUUUUAAAUUGAACAAAAGAAAAACGUUUGGAGAUCAGUGUGAGUGGUGUGAAACGAUUGUAUUCUUAAAAUUACGAGACAGACUAUCGAUUAAAAGAAUUAACGAAUCGUGAAACUGGUCGUUCGUUUCCUUCUCCAAACAGAAUUCGACACGCAGACCAAAGAUAUGUACCAUAUGUACGUUCCAUCGUUUCGUGUGCAUGAGAGUUACGUAAACGGGACAGGUAUUGGUGUUGGUUGACCUACCAAUUUCCGGAUCCGAUAAUACAAACACGCUGUUUAGCUGCCAUAAUCUUCGAUGAUCCCGACGUCGGAUAUGCAGGAGUAUAAACUGAAAAGAAUCGCACGACAAUGUACACAAACCACGCGGCUCCGUAGCGAGGUGGCAACUGGAACAGCUCUGUACACUGUACUUACAUGAAAAGGCUCGCGAUGUUUUCCGUGGAAGUGGGAGAGAUACCAGCAAAUACCAGCGAGCGAAUUGAUACUGCCGACCGAGUACUGAUAGGCCAAUCAUUAUGGUAAGCAAAAUUGAACGGUUAACCAAUAAAAUUCCAUGCGAUAAGAA